Molecule: ribosomal RNA, 301 nt
Filed under: uncultured bacterium
Lineage: Bacteria
Description: partial 16S ribosomal RNA
Rfam family: Bacterial small subunit ribosomal RNA
Source: RNAcentral
CAGUCGCCACGGUAAAACGGAGGGGGCUAGCGUUGUUCGGAAUUAUUGGGCGUAAAGCGCACGUAGGCGGCUUGGUAAGUUAGAGGUGAAAGCCUGGAACUCAACUCCAGAAUUGCCUUUAAGACUGCCGAGCUAGCAGGUGAGAGAGGUAAGUGGAAUUCCGAGUGUAGAGGUGAAAUUCGUAGAUAUUCGGAAGAACACCAGUGGCGAAGGCGGCUUACUGGCUCAUACUGGACGCUGAGGUGCGAAAGCGUGGGGAGCAAACAGGAUUAGAUACCCCUGUAGUCCCUGUCUCUUAUAC